GGGACGAACGCUGGCGGCGUGCUUAACACAUGCAAGUCGAGCGGUAAGGCCUUUCGGGGUACACGAGCGGCGAACGGGUGAGUAACACGUGGGUGAUCUGCCCUGCACUCUGGGAUAAGCCUGGGAAACUGGGUCUAAUACCGGAUAUGACCUGCUCUCGCAUGGGGGGUGGGUGGAAAGAUUUAUCGGUGCAGGAUGGGCCCGCGGCCUAUCAGCUUGUUGGUGGGGUAAUGGCCUACCAAGGCGACGACGGGUAGCCGACCUGAGAGGGUGACCGGCCACACUGGGACUGAGACACGGCCCAGACUCCUACGGGAGGCAGCAGUGGGGAAUAUGCACAAUGGGCGAAAGCCUGAUGCAGCGACGCCGCGUGAGGAUGAAGGCCUUCGGGUUGUAAACCUUCUUUCAGCAGGACGAAGCGCAAGUCGACGGUACUGACAGAAGAGCACCGGACUAACACGUGCCAGCCGACGCCGC
RNAcentral lists this ribosomal RNA (477 nucleotides) under uncultured soil bacterium. Its description in RNAcentral is "bacterial SSU rRNA". It matches the Rfam family "Bacterial small subunit ribosomal RNA", at positions 27 to 521 of the family's 1533-position model. The record is from RNAcentral.